This 378-nucleotide ribosomal RNA is filed under the name Amanita phalloides. RNAcentral describes it as "LSU rRNA". It matches the Rfam family "Bacterial large subunit ribosomal RNA", at positions 1749 to 2059 of the family's 2925-position model. Lineage: Eukaryota; Fungi; Basidiomycota; Agaricomycetes; Agaricales; Amanitaceae. The record is from RNAcentral.
UACCAUCUAUGAUUUAUAUUUUUAAGUUUUGACUUUCUCUCUUUUCCCUUUUUUGGUAAAGAAUAAAUUAAAAAUUCAAAUUAAUAGAUAGAUAGAUGGUGGCACAGAAUCGGAGGCCCCGACUGUUUACUAAAAACACAACACAGUGCAAUCAUUAAUGUGGUAGUAUACUGUGUGAAAUUUGCCCAAUGCCAUUAAUAUAANNNCGGUCAUGGGAAACUGUGACUAAUUGAAAAUCUGGUUAAUAGCGGUCUUAAUCAUGAGGAUCCUAAGGUAGCAAAAUAAAUUGGCCAUUAAAUGUGGUCCGGUAUCAAUAAUGUAACGAUGGCCUCACUGUCAUCUACAACUUGCUCAGUGAAAUUGAAUUACGCGUGCAGA